UGGAUAACCUACCUAUAAGACUGGGAUAACUUCGGGAAACCGGAGCUAAUACCGGAUAAUAUUUUGAACCGCAUGGUUCAAAAGUGAAAGACGGUCUUGCUGUCACUUAUAGAUGGAUCCGCGCUGCAUUAGCUAGUUGGUAAGGUAACGGCUUACCAAGGCAACGAUGCAUAGCCGACCUGAGAGGGUGAUCGGCCACACUGGAACUGAGACACGGUCCAGACUCCUACGGGAGGCAGCAGUAGGGAAUCUUCCGCAAUGGGCGAAAGCCUGACGGAGCAACGCCGCGUGAGUGAUGAAGGUCUUCGGAUCGUAAAACUCUGUUAUUAGGGAAGAACAUAUGUGUAAGUAACUGUGCACAUCUUGACGGUACCUAAUCAGAAAGCCACGGCUAACUACGUGCCAGCAGCCGCGGUAAUACGUAGGUGGCAAGCGUUAUCCGGAAUUAUUGGGCGUAAAGCGCGCGUAGGCGGUUUUUUAAGUCUGAUGUGAAAGCCCACGGCUCAACCGUGGAGGGUCAUUGGAAACUGGAAAACUUGAGUGCAGAAGAGGAAAGUGGAAUUCCAUGUGUAGCGGUGAAAUGCGCAGAGAUAUGGAGGAACACCAGUGGCGAAGGCGACUUUCUGGUCUGUAACUGACGCUGAUGUGCGAAAGCGUGGGGAUCAAACAGGAUUAGAUACCCUGGUAGUCCACGCCGUAAACGAUGAGUGCUAAGUGUUAGGGGGUUUCCGCCCCUUAGUGCUGCAGCUAACGCAUUAAGCACUCCGCCUGGGGAGUACGACCGCAAGGUUGAAACUCAAAGGAAUUGACGGGGACCCGCACAAGCGGUGGAGCAUGUGGUUUAAUUCGAAGCAACGCGAAGAACCUUACCAAAUCUUGACAUCCUUUGACAACUCUAGAGAUAGAGCCUUCCCCUUCGGGGGACAAAGUGACAGGUGGUGCAUGGUUGUCGUCAGCUCGUGUCGUGAGAUGUUGGGUUAAGUCCCGCAACGAGCGCAACCCUUAAGCUUAGUUGCCAUCAUUAAGUUGGGCACUCUAAGUUGACUGCCGGUGACAAACCGGAGGAAGGUGGGGAUGACGUCAAAUCAUCAUGCCCCUUAUGAUUUGGGCUACACACGUGC
Molecule: ribosomal RNA, 1121 nt
Filed under: Staphylococcus aureus
Lineage: Bacteria; Bacillati; Bacillota; Bacilli; Caryophanales; Staphylococcaceae
Description: bacterial SSU rRNA
Rfam family: Bacterial small subunit ribosomal RNA
Source: RNAcentral